AAAGAUUCCGCUGCUGAAGAAGAUGGGUGUCGCCGCCAAGCUUACCAUGCUGUUUCUAAUCUCCGUUGUUCUGCAGCAAGCUUGCAGUUACCCAUUCGAUGAAGACGUCUUUUUUGACCUCGACAAUGAAGGGGAAGUAGUGAAGAGGAACAGCCUCACUGAUUUAAUCCGCAUCUUGAAGGCAAAAGAAAAUUGGAGAAGCAGUCAUUUGAAAACACAUCAAGUUCGAUUUGGUGCCGGCGGAAAGUAGACACGACUAAAGACUGAUUAGGACUGAAUCGAGAUCCAUGUAAAUCAAAGUGCACUAAUGUUAUAGAAUUAUGUUAACAGUAUGUAAUAAAUAUCAAGCGCAUUGGU
Long non-coding RNA from Ostrea edulis (European flat oyster), 357 nucleotides. RefSeq lists it as uncharacterized. The record is from RefSeq and is a predicted model, not a curated record. NCBI's taxonomy places the organism in Eukaryota, Metazoa, Mollusca, Bivalvia, Ostreida, Ostreidae. The transcript is spliced from 2 exons.